GACGAACGCUGGCGGCGUGCUUAACACAUGCAAGUCGAACGGAAAGGCCCUGCAUUUGUGGGGUGCUCGAGUGGCGAACGGGUGAGUAUCACGUGUGUAACCUGCCCUUGACUUUGGGAUAACUUCAGGGAACUGGGGCUAAUACCGGAUAUGAGCUCCUGCUGCAUGGUGGGGGUUGGAAAGUUUCGGCGGUUGGGGAUGGACUCGCGGCUUAUCAGCGUGUUGGUGGGGUAGUGGCUUACCAAGGCUUUGACGGGUAGCCGGACUGAGAGGGUGACCGGCCACAUUGGGACUGAGAUACGGCCCAGACUCCUACGGGAGGCAGCAGUGGGGAAUAUUGCAAGAUGGGCGGAAGCCUGAUGCAGCAACGCCGCGUGCGGGAUGACGGCCGUCGGGGUGUAAACCGCGUGCGCCUGUGACGAAGCGUGAGUGACGGUAAUGGGUAAAGAAGCACCGGCUAACUACGUG
This 468-nucleotide ribosomal RNA is filed under the name uncultured bacterium. RNAcentral describes it as "partial 16S ribosomal RNA". It matches the Rfam family "Bacterial small subunit ribosomal RNA", at positions 28 to 507 of the family's 1533-position model. The record is from RNAcentral.